GUCAAUAUAGUUUAUUAAAAUAUUAGAUUGUGAUACUAAAGUUUAAAGAGCCCUGCUUUAUAUUGACC
RNAcentral lists this transfer RNA (68 nucleotides) under Siphonops annulatus. RNAcentral's name for it is "tRNA-His". It matches the Rfam family "tRNA". Rfam says of the family: Transfer RNA (tRNA) molecules are approximately 80 nucleotides in length. Their secondary structure includes four short double-helical elements and three loops (D, anti-codon, and T loops). Further hydrogen bonds mediate the characteristic L-shaped molecular structure. tRNAs have two regions of fundamental functional importance: the anti-codon, which is responsible for specific mRNA codon recognition, and the 3' end, to which the tRNAs corresponding amino acid is attached (by aminoacyl-tRNA synthetases). tRNAs cope with the degeneracy of the genetic code in two manners: having more than one tRNA (with a specific anti-codon) for a particular amino acid; and 'wobble' base-pairing, i.e. permitting non-standard base-pairing at the 3rd anti-codon position. Lineage: Eukaryota; Metazoa; Chordata; Amphibia; Gymnophiona; Siphonopidae. The record is from RNAcentral.